CAGUACCGCGGUAAUACGUAGGUGGCAAGCGUUGUCCGGAAUUAUUGGGCGUAAAGGGCUCGCAGGCGGUUUCUUAAGUCUGAUGUGAAAGCCCCCGGCUCAACCGGGGAGGGUCAUUGGAAACUGGGAAACUUGAGUGCAGAAGAGGAGAGUGGAUUUCCACGUGUAGCGGUGAAAUGCGUAGAGAUGUGGAGGAACACCAGUGGCGAAGGCGACUCUCUGGUCUGUAACUGACGCUCAUGCACGAAAGCGUGGGGAGCAAACAGGAUUAGAGACCCCAGUAGUCCCUGUCUCUUAUACC
RNAcentral lists this ribosomal RNA (301 nucleotides) under uncultured bacterium. Its description in RNAcentral is "partial 16S ribosomal RNA". It matches the Rfam family "Bacterial small subunit ribosomal RNA", at positions 509 to 808 of the family's 1533-position model. The record is from RNAcentral.